AUCCUUUUGUAGUUCAUAAGCAUGAUUGGGUUUUCACGUGCACGAAUGAGAUGUGCCUCCCUCAAUCCUUGUUACGAUGUUGGCACAUUACCCGUCUGACA
Molecule: small nucleolar RNA, 101 nt
Organism: Lemur catta (Ring-tailed lemur)
Lineage: Eukaryota; Metazoa; Chordata; Mammalia; Primates; Lemuridae
Product: small nucleolar RNA U13
Exons: 1
Source: RefSeq, a predicted model, not a curated record